This 253-nucleotide ribosomal RNA is filed under the name uncultured bacterium. RNAcentral describes it as "partial 16S ribosomal RNA". It matches the Rfam family "Bacterial small subunit ribosomal RNA", at positions 524 to 776 of the family's 1533-position model. The record is from RNAcentral.
UACGGAGGAUGCGAGCGUUAUCCGGAUUUACUGGGUGUAAAGGGAGCGCAGGCGGCACGGCAAGCCUGAUGUGAAAGCCCGCGGCCCAACCGCGGGACUGCACUGGGAACUACCGGGCUGGAGUGCCGGAGAGGUAGGCGGAAUUCCUAGUGUAGCGGUGAAAUGCGUAGAUAUUAGGAGGAACACCAGUGGCGAAGGCGGCCUACUGGACGGUGACUGACGCUGAGGCUCGAAAGCGUGGGGAGCAAACAGG